Eriocheir sinensis (Chinese mitten crab) is the source of this 1322-nucleotide long non-coding RNA. RefSeq lists it as uncharacterized. Lineage: Eukaryota; Metazoa; Arthropoda; Malacostraca; Decapoda; Varunidae. The record is from RefSeq and is a predicted model, not a curated record. The transcript has 3 exons.
GUCUAAGUUACUGUGAGGUCUCGUGUGCCAUGACAGGGGUAGGGCUGGAUGGUAUUUGAUAUAGGUUAGGUUAGGGGCACGAUAGGUAAGGUUAGGUAAGGUUAGGUAAGGUUAGGUUUGGUAUAGGUUAGGUUAGGUUAGGUUAGGUAAGGUUAGGUAAGGUUAGGUUUGGUAUAGCUUAGGUUAGGUAAGGUUAGGUUAGAUUAGGGUGCUUUUGGUAUAGGUUAGGUUAGGUUAGGUUAGGUUAGGUUAGGUUAGGGUAGGGUACGUUAGGUUAGGUUAGGUAAGAUAAGGUAAGGUUAGGUUAGGUUAGGUUAGGGUGCGUUUGGUAUAGAUUAGGUUAGGUUAGGUAAGGUUAGGGUACGUUAGAUUGGGUUAGGUAAGAUAAGGUAAGGUUAGGUUAGGUUAGGUUAGGGUAGGGUACGUUAGGAUAGGUUAGGUAAGGUUAAGUUAGAUUAGGGUACGUUUGGUAUAGGUUAAGUUAGGUCAGGUUAUGUAGGUUAGGUAAGGGUAGGGUACGUCAGGUUGGGUUAGGUAAGGUUUGGUAUAGGUUAGGUUAUGUAGGUUAGGUUAGGGUAGGGUAGGGCAGGUUGGGUUAGGUAAGGUUUGGUAUAGGUUAGGUUAUGUAGGUUAGGUAAGGGUAGGGUACGUCAGGUUGGGUUAGGUAAGGUUUGGUAUAGGUUAGGUUAUGUAGGUUAGGUUAGGGUAGGGUAGGGCCCCUUGUCGGCUGGUUGUGGGGGGCGAGGGAAGCUUAGGAGAGGAUUGGUGAAGCAGUGAAUCGUAGGUACAGAUAGAGAAGAGAGAAGAGGAUGGAUAGAUAGAUAGAAAGAUAGACUGAUAGCAAAGAAAACGGGAAACGGUGAACAGCUAACACGGUAGACUUAAAUAAAAUCAAUGACGGCAGUACGUAUAAGGAACCAAGCAAAUAGACAAGGAUAGAUAGAUAGAUAACAACAACAAAUAGACAACGAGGCUUCAGUUAUUCCAAAAGAACUCCACAAGAACAGAAUAUCACAGUUUAAGGCUGGAUUAACGAGCACUUGAAAUGACUACAGGUAGGAGCGAAUGUUGGAGUUUGGGGAGAUGAUGGACCGAGGUGACAGCUUGGUGGAGAGUUACAGAGGGUCACAGUGGAUGGGGAAGGAAGUGGAGAGGUGGCGGAGGUGGUGGAGUUGGUGGUACUGUGUUUUGCUAGCUGGUGGAGUGAACUGGCAGCUUGGUGGAGCGUUACAGAGGGUUACAGUGGAACGGGAAGGUAGUGGAGAGGUGGAGGAGGUCAGGGUGGGUUUGGUAGAUGGUGGAGGUGGUGGAGGUACGGUGUG